CGACUCCAGCUGCUUUGCUCUGAGCCACCCUUCUCGCGACAGAGUUGUCUGGCCGGCGCUGAGCGACAGAAACCUGGCCACCACGAGCAGCUGGUGCAGGUCGUCGGCGGUGAUGCUCUGAGGGUCGUUCUUGCGCCUUUCCACGAAGUCGUCUUCCACUGCCUUGGUCACGUCGUCGGAGAUGCUGUAAUCCAGGAACCUCAGCAGGGUCAGGUAGACGCGGAACCUGCUGAGCGCCGAGGGCAGCAGGCCGGCGAGCAGGCUGCUCAUGUGCUCCUCCACGUUGGGUGGGACGAGCUGGGGCUGCAAGUGGACCUGGCAGUCGGCCGGGAGGAGGGAGCGCCCUUCCGAGGUGAUGACAACGUUGAUGUUGCAAGGGAACUCCAUCUGGUGGUAGCUGAAGUCGUAAUCCACCUUCUGCCAGGUGUUGCUGGGCAGCUGCAGGAGUCCACUGACCAAGCGAUUGGCCGCGUAGUCUUUGUGGGGGAUGAACUUCAAAUGGUUCAUGUUCUCUAUCGUCAUCUGUAGGCGAAAAGACGCUGGAACAAGGUGUUGAAUAAUUCGAUAUAAGUGUUCUAUGAAGGUGCUGUUCCGUGGGCAACCACUCAGGUUAACUGCAAAUUUUCCUAGAGGAAGAACAUCUCUUCUUGUAUAUACUGUAGAGAUGAGGUGCAAUAUAAGGUAUUCCGCAGCCAGACUAUCUCCCAAGAGGGCGUGAGUGAGGAAUCCAAGCAGUUCUGCUCUGACUGGAGACAGUUCAGACAGAAACAUGGAUUCUUUUUAACUAGAAUGAUUUUUAAAAUUUUACAUGGAAAAAAAUCAAAGAAAUAAGAGCACUUGGGGAAACAUAUUGUGAGAAACAGCCUCACCCAUCCACUGAAAAUAUGGACGCAGACACAGAAAGUUCAGGAAAAGAGGUUUUCAAAUGAUCUUGUCAGAUUGGGUGACUGGUGGAACAGCCUGACUUGGUGGUGUGCCUGGUGGGACAACAUACCCAGGGGUUUCAAACAAGCAGUUUAUUUUCUAGCAGGAAGCCCCCUCCCAUUUCCCCAUUGGCCAAGUACUAUGGGUUUGUC
RNAcentral lists this long non-coding RNA (1076 nucleotides) under Oryctolagus cuniculus (rabbit). RNAcentral describes it as "lncRNA (ENSOCUG00000031990.1)". The record is from RNAcentral. Lineage: Eukaryota; Metazoa; Chordata; Mammalia; Lagomorpha; Leporidae.